UACGUAGGGCGCAAGCGUUGUCCGGAAUUAUUGGGCGUAAAGAGCUCGUAGGCGACCUGUUACGUCUGCUGUGAAAUCCCGGGGCUUAACCCCGGGCGUGCAGUGGAUACGGGCAGGCUGGAGGCAGGCAGGGGAGAACGGAAUUCCCGGUGUAGCGGUGAAAUGCGCAGAUAUCGGGAGGAACACCGGUGGCGAAGGCGGUUCUCUGGGCCUGUACUGACGCUGAGGAGCGAAAGCGUGGGGAGCGAACAGG
RNAcentral lists this ribosomal RNA (253 nucleotides) under uncultured bacterium. RNAcentral's name for it is "partial 16S ribosomal RNA". It matches the Rfam family "Bacterial small subunit ribosomal RNA", at positions 524 to 776 of the family's 1533-position model. The record is from RNAcentral.